RNAcentral lists this transfer RNA (75 nucleotides) under Candidatus Saccharimonadota bacterium. RNAcentral's name for it is "Candidatus Saccharibacteria bacterium (sediment metagenome) tRNA-Gly". It matches the Rfam family "tRNA". From Rfam's summary of the family: Transfer RNA (tRNA) molecules are approximately 80 nucleotides in length. Their secondary structure includes four short double-helical elements and three loops (D, anti-codon, and T loops). Lineage: Bacteria; Candidatus Saccharimonadota. The record is from RNAcentral.
GCGGGUGUCGUAUAGUGACUAAUAUGCUAGCCUUCCAAGCUUGAGACGCGAGUUUGAUUCUCGCCACCCGCACCA